Molecule: ribosomal RNA, 452 nt
Filed under: uncultured Ignavibacteriales bacterium
Lineage: Bacteria; Pseudomonadati; Ignavibacteriota; Ignavibacteria; Ignavibacteriales
Description: bacterial SSU rRNA
Rfam family: Bacterial small subunit ribosomal RNA
Source: RNAcentral
GGGCUGCAGUGAGGAAUAUUGGGCAAUGGACGCAAGUCUGACCCAGCAACGCCGCGUGGAGGAUGAAUGUCGUAAGAUUGUAAACUCCUUUUGGAGGGGACGAAAAAACGGGUUUGUAGCCUGUAUUGACUGUACCCUCAGAAGAAGCCCCGGCUAACUACGUGCCAGCAGCCGCGGUAAUACGUAGGGGGCAAGCGUUGUCCGGAUUUACUGGGUGUAAAGGGCGCGUAGGCGGGUUUGUAAGUCAGAGGUGAAAUCCUGCGGCUCAACCGUAGAACUGCCUUUGAUACUGCAAACCUUGAGUUCAGAAGAGAGUGACGGAAUUCCAGGUGUAGUGGUGAAAUACGUAGAUAUCUGGAAGAACACCAGUGGCGAAGGCGGUCACUUGGUCUGUAACUGACGCUGAGGCGCGAAAGCGUGGGGAGCGAACAGGAUUAGAUACCCCGGUAGUC